Molecule: ribosomal RNA, 500 nt
Filed under: uncultured bacterium
Lineage: Bacteria
Description: partial 16S ribosomal RNA
Rfam family: Bacterial small subunit ribosomal RNA
Source: RNAcentral
AUUGAACGCUGGCGGCAGGCCUAACACAUGCAAGUCGAGCGGAUGACGGGAGCUUGCUCCUUGAUUCAGCGGCGGACGGGUGAGUAAUGCCUAGGAAUCUGCCUGGUAGUGGGGGACAACGUUUCGAAAGGAACGCUAAUACCGCAUACGUCCUACGGGAGAAAGCAGGGGACCUUCAGGCCUUGCGCUAUCAGAUGAGCCUAGGUCGGAUUAGCUAGUUGGUGGGGUAAUGGCUCACCAAGGCGACGAUCCGUAACUGGUCUGAGAGGAUGAUCAGUCACACUGGAACUGAGACACGGUCCAGACUCCUACGGGAGGCAGCAGUGGGGAAUAUUGGACAAUGGGCGAAAGCCUGAUCCAGCCAUGCCGCGUGUGUGAAGAAGGUCUUCGGAUUGUAAAGCACUUUAAGUUGGGAGGAAGGGCAGUAAGUUAAUACCUUGCUGUCUUGACGUUACCGACAGAAUAAGCCCCGGCUAACUCCGUGCCAGCAGCCGCCGUAA